This 253-nucleotide ribosomal RNA is filed under the name uncultured bacterium. RNAcentral describes it as "partial 16S ribosomal RNA". It matches the Rfam family "Bacterial small subunit ribosomal RNA", at positions 524 to 776 of the family's 1533-position model. The record is from RNAcentral.
UACGUAGGUGGCAAGCGUUGUCCGGAUUUAUUGGGUUUAAAGGGUGCGUAGGCGGCCCUGUAAGUCAGUUGUGAAAUACGGCAGCUUAACUGUCGAGGUGCAAUUGAUACUGCAGGGCUUGAGUACUGAUGAGGUAGGCGGAAUGGACGGUGUAGCGGUGAAAUGCGUAGAUAUCGGGAGGAACACCAGUGGCGAAGGCGACUUCCUGGCCUGUUCUUGACGCUGAGGCGCGAAAGCUAGGGUAGCAAACGGG